RNAcentral lists this ribosomal RNA (553 nucleotides) under uncultured bacterium. Its description in RNAcentral is "partial 16S ribosomal RNA". It matches the Rfam family "Bacterial small subunit ribosomal RNA", at positions 355 to 899 of the family's 1533-position model. The record is from RNAcentral.
UAGGGAAUCUUCCACAAUGGACGCAAGUCUGAUGGAGCAACGCCGCGUGAGUGAAGAAGGUUUUCGGAUCGUAAAGCUCUGUUGUUGGUGAAGAAGGAUAGAGGCAGUAACUGGUCUUUAUUUGACGGUAAUCAACCAGAAAGUCACGGCUAACUACGUGCCAGCAGCCGCGGUAAUACGUAGGUGGCAAGCGUUGUCCGGAUUUAUUGGGCGUAAAGCGAGCGCAGGCGGAAUGAUAAGUCUGAUGUGAAAGCCCACGGCUCAACCGUGGAACUGCAUCGGAAACUGUCAUUCUUGAGUGCAGAAGAGGAGAGUGGAACUCCAUGUGUAGCGGUGGAAUGCGUAGAUAUAUGGAAGAACACCAGUGGCGAAGGCGGCUCUCUGGUCUGCAACUGGCGCUGAGGCUCGAAAGCAUGGGUAGCGAACAGGAUUAGAUACCCUGGUAGUCCAUGCCGUAAACGAUGAGCGCUAGGUGUUGGGGACUUUCCGGUUCUCAGUGCCGCAGCAAACGCAUUAAGCGCUCCGCCUGGGGAGUACGACCGCAAGGUUGAAA